GAUGAACGCUGGCGGCGUGCCUAAUACAUGCAAGUCGAGCGAACAGACGAGGAGCUUGCUCCUCUGACGUUAGCGGCGGACGGGUGAGUAACACGUGGAUAACCUACCUAUAAGACUGGGAUAACUUCGGGAAACCGGAGCUAAUACCGGAUAAUAUAUUGAACCGCAUGGUUCAAUAGUGAAAGACGGUUUUGCUGUCACUUAUAGAUGGAUCCGCGCCGCAUUAGCUAGUUGGUAAGGUAACGGCUUACCAAGGCAACGAUGCGUAGCCGACCUGAGAGGGUGGUCGGCCACACGGGAAGUGAGACACGGUCCAGACUCCUACGGGAGGCAGCAGUAGGGAAUCUUCCGCAAUGGGCGAAAGCGGGACGGAGCAACGCCGCGUGAGUGAUGAAGGUCUUCGGAUCGUAAAACUCUGUUAUUAGGGAAGAACAAAUGUGUAAGUAACUAUGCACGUCUUGACGGUACCUAAUCAGAAAGCCACGGCUAACUACGUG
Molecule: ribosomal RNA, 497 nt
Filed under: uncultured bacterium
Lineage: Bacteria
Description: partial 16S ribosomal RNA
Rfam family: Bacterial small subunit ribosomal RNA
Source: RNAcentral